Molecule: ribosomal RNA, 2915 nt
Filed under: Klebsiella pneumoniae
Lineage: Bacteria; Pseudomonadati; Pseudomonadota; Gammaproteobacteria; Enterobacterales; Enterobacteriaceae
Description: partial 23S ribosomal RNA
Rfam family: Bacterial large subunit ribosomal RNA
Source: RNAcentral
GGUUAAGCGACUAAGCGUACACGGUGGAUGCCCUGGCAGUCAGAGGCGAUGAAGGACGUGCUAAUCUGCGAAAAGCGUCGGUAAGGUGAUAUGAACCGUUAUAACCGGCGAUGUCCGAAUGGGGAAACCCAGUGCAAUUCGUUGCACUAUCGUUAACUGAAUACAUAGGUUAACGAGGCGAACCGGGGGAACUGAAACAUCUAAGUACCCCGAGGAAAAGAAAUCAACCGAGAUUCCCCCAGUAGCGGCGAGCGAACGGGGAGCAGCCCAGAGUCUGAAUCAGCUUGUGUGUUAGUGGAACGGUCUGGAAAGUCCGACGGUACAGGGUGAUAGUCCCGUACACCAAAAUGCACAGGCUGUGAACUCGAAGAGUAGGGCGGGACACGUGGUAUCCUGUCUGAAUAUGGGGGGACCAUCCUCCAAGGCUAAAUACUCCUGACUGACCGAUAGUGAACCAGUACCGUGAGGGAAAGGCGAAAAGAACCCCGGCGAGGGGAGUGAAAAAGAACCUGAAACCGUGUACGUACAAGCAGUGGGAGCACCUUCGGGUGUGACUGCGUACCUUUUGUAUAAUGGGUCAGCGACUUAUAUUCUGUAGCAAGGUUAACCGUAUAGGGGAGCCGCAGGGAAACCGAGUCUUAACUGGGCGUUAAGUUGCAGGGUAUAGACCCGAAACCCGGUGAUCUAGCCAUGGGCAGGUUGAAGGUUGGGUAACACUAACUGGAGGACCGAACCGACUAAUGUUGAAAAAUUAGCGGAUGACUUGUGGCUGGGGGUGAAAGGCCAAUCAAACCGGGAGAUAGCUGGUUCUCCCCGAAAGCUAUUUAGGUAGCGCCUCGUGAACUCAUCUUCGGGGGUAGAGCACUGUUUCGGCUAGGGGGUCAUCCCGACUUACCAACCCGAUGCAAACUACGAAUACCGAAGAAUGUUAUCACGGGAGACACACGGCGGGUGCUAACGUCCGUCGUGAAGAGGGAAACAACCCAGACCGCCAGCUAAGGUCCCAAAGUCAUGGUUAAGUGGGAAACGAUGUGGGAAGGCACAGACAGCCAGGAUGUUGGCUUAGAAGCAGCCAUCAUUUAAAGAAAGCGUAAUAGCUCACUGGUCGAGUCGGCCUGCGCGGAAGAUGUAACGGGGCUAAACCAUGCACCGAAGCUGCGGCAGCGACACUAUGUGUUGUUGGGUAGGGGAGCGUUCUGUAAGCCUGCGAAGGUGACCUGUGAGGGUUGCUGGAGGUAUCAGAAGUGCGAAUGCUGACAUAAGUAACGAUAAAGCGGGUGAAAAGCCCGCUCGCCGGAAGACCAAGGGUUCCUGUCCAACGUUAAUCGGGGCAGGGUGAGUCGACCCCUAAGGCGAGGCCGAAAGGCGUAGUCGAUGGGAAACAGGUUAAUAUUCCUGUACUUGGUGUUACUGCGAAGGGGGGACGGAGAAGGCUAUGUUAGCCGGGCGACGGUUGUCCCGGUUUAAGCAUGUAGGCUGAUUNNNNNNNNNNNNNNNNNNNNNNNNNNNNNNNNNNNNNNNNNNNNNNNNNNNNNNNNNNNNNNNNNNNNNNNNNNNNNNNNNNNNNNNNNNNNNNNNNNNNUCCAGGCAAAUCCGGAUAAUCAAGGCUGAGGUGUGAUGACGAGGCACUACGGUGCUGAAGUAACAAAUGCCCUGCUUCCAGGAAAAGCCUCUAAGCAUCAGGUAACAUCAAAUCGUACCCCAAACCGACACAGGUGGUCAGGUAGAGAAUACCAAGGCGCUUGAGAGAACUCGGGUGAAGGAACUAGGCAAAAUGGUGCCGUAACUUCGGGAGAAGGCACGCUGGUGUGUAGGUGAAGUCCCUGCGGAUGGAGCUGAGACCAGUCGAAGAUACCAGCUGGCUGCAACUGUUUAUUAAAAACACAGCACUGUGCAAACACGAAAGUGGACGUAUACGGUGUGACGCCUGCCCGGUGCCGGAAGGUUAAUUGAUGGGGUUAUCCGUAAGGAGAAGCUCUUGAUCGAAGCCCCGGUAAACGGCGGCCGUAACUAUAACGGUCCUAAGGUAGCGAAAUUCCUUGUCGGGUAAGUUCCGACCUGCACGAAUGGCGUAAUGAUGGCCAGGCUGUCUCCACCCGAGACUCAGUGAAAUUGAACUCGCUGUGAAGAUGCAGUGUACCCGCGGCAAGACGGAAAGACCCCGUGAACCUUUACUAUAGCUUGACACUGAACAUUGAGCCUUGAUGUGUAGGAUAGGUGGGAGGCUUUGAAGCGUGGACGCCAGUCUGCGUGGAGCCAACCUUGAAAUACCACCCUUUAAUGUUUGAUGUUCUAACGUUGGCCCCUGACCGGGGUUGCGGACAGUGUCUGGUGGGUAGUUUGACUGGGGCGGUCUCCUCCCAAAGCGUAACGGAGGAGCACGAAGGUUAGCUAAUCCUGGUCGGACAUCAGGAGGUUAGUGCAAUGGCAUAAGCUAGCUUGACUGCGAGCGUGACGGCGCGAGCAGGUGCGAAAGCAGGUCAUAGUGAUCCGGUGGUUCUGAAUGGAAGGGCCAUCGCUCAACGGAUAAAAGGUACUCCGGGGAUAACAGGCUGAUACCGCCCAAGAGUUCAUAUCGACGGCGGUGUUUGGCACCUCGAUGUCGGCUCAUCACAUCCUGGGGCUGAAGUAGGUCCCAAGGGUAUGGCUGUUCGCCAUUUAAAGUGGUACGCGAGCUGGGUUUAGAACGUCGUGAGACAGUUCGGUCCCUAUCUGCCGUGGGCGCUGGAGAAUUGAGGGGGGCUGCUCCUAGUACGAGAGGACCGGAGUGGACGCAUCACUGGUGUUCGGGUUGUCAUGCCAAUGGCACUGCCCGGUAGCUAAAUGCGGAAGAGAUAAGUGCUGAAAGCAUCUAAGCACGAAACUUGCCCCGAGAUGAGUUCUCCCUGAGACUUUAAGUCUCCUGAAGGAACGUU